GCUGCAGAGAUCCUAACAUUAAGGUUCCCAUUUGGAACCUGAAGGCCAAGCACCUCCAGGCCCAGCCUGAGACUCAAGACUUUGCCCGCCAUGUCCAUUUCUCAUCUUUUGUUUGUGUCUGGCUCACCACUCAGUGAUAAAGAACCCUGGAGGGUGGAACUGCAGCUCACCCAUCGCGGGAUCAGGCUACCAGCAGAUGUGACAGCCAUGAUGUAGGCUAUGAGGAUCCCCCCAGCCCCCAGGAGCUUCAACAUGGGUGGGAAUCGGUCCAGAAGAUGUUGCGGCCAAGAUGGUCAACGGCAAUACCUUCUGGGCUUCCCAGAUCUAGAACCAAAGAUGGAACUUCUGGGAUUGUUUUCUUCUAAGCAGCAGCAAGAUUCACCACAGCCAGAAGGAGGCAGCAACCCAAGCGUCCAUCGACAGAAGAGCAGAUAAUGAAAAUGUGCCUCAGCUCCUGCUCCAGCAGAAAACAGGCUUAGACAACAAGACGACACACACAAUCGGAAUUUUAGGCUCUGCCUCCAAAUGUUCAUCUGUGACUGAACCCACACAGGCAGACACAGUGACAUUAAGUGGAUGAGCUGCCAAUCAAUGUUUAACGUGCCUUCGGUCUAGGCUGCCAGUCUUUAGGUUGGCCGGCUCAACACAACUGCUCCCUUGAUUAGAAGCAGGUUGCUUGCCGAGAAUGUGUGUGGAACCUGGCAAGAAGAAACUGCUUUUCUUUUGUACCAGAGGCUACUAUAAAAAAAACAAAAU
Marmota flaviventris (yellow-bellied marmot) is the source of this 756-nucleotide long non-coding RNA. RefSeq lists it as uncharacterized. The record is from RefSeq and is a predicted model, not a curated record. NCBI's taxonomy places the organism in Eukaryota, Metazoa, Chordata, Mammalia, Rodentia, Sciuridae.